RNAcentral lists this ribosomal RNA (254 nucleotides) under uncultured bacterium. RNAcentral's name for it is "partial 16S ribosomal RNA". It matches the Rfam family "Bacterial small subunit ribosomal RNA", at positions 524 to 776 of the family's 1533-position model. The record is from RNAcentral.
GACGUAGGGGGCAAGCGUUAUCCGGAUUUAUUGGGCGUAAAGGGCGCGCAGGCGGUGCCGAGCAGUGGCCCGUGCAAUCUCCCGGCUCACCCGGGAGGGGUCGGGCCAGACGGCGGUGCUGGAGGCACGGAGAGGGGCACGGAACGGACGGAGUAGGGGUGACAUCCGUAGAGCCCGUCCGGAACACCCGUAGCGCAGGCGGUGCCCUGGCCGUGACCUGACGCUGAGGCGCGAAAGCGUGGGGAGCGAACGGA